This 65-nucleotide transfer RNA is filed under the name Ixodes scapularis (black-legged tick). It matches the Rfam family "tRNA", at positions 9 to 71 of the family's 71-position model. Rfam says of the family: Transfer RNA (tRNA) molecules are approximately 80 nucleotides in length. Lineage: Eukaryota; Metazoa; Arthropoda; Arachnida; Ixodida; Ixodidae. The record is from Rfam by way of RNAcentral.
AGCUCAGUUGGUAGAGCGCUCCACUGGAAAUGGAGAGGUCCCGGGUUCGAUACCCGGACCAGGAG